RNAcentral lists this transfer RNA (94 nucleotides) under Camponotus concavus. Its description in RNAcentral is "tRNA-Pro". Lineage: Eukaryota; Metazoa; Arthropoda; Insecta; Hymenoptera; Formicidae. The record is from RNAcentral.
CAAAAAAUAGUUUAUGGAGAAUAUUAAUUUUGGAAAUUAGAGGUUGUAUUAUUAUUUAUAUUGACUAAAUAUAAAUAUGUUUUAUAUUUUUUGA